CGAGCGGCGGACGGGUGAGUAAUGCUUGGGAACAUGCCUUGAGGUGGGGGACAACAGUUGGAAACGACUGCUAAUACCGCAUAAUGUCUACGGACCAAAGGGGGCUUCGGCUCUCGCCUUUAGAUUGGCCCAAGUGGGAUUAGCUAGUUGGUGAGGUAAUGGCUCACCAAGGCGACGAUCCCUANCUGGUUUGAGAGGAUGAUCAGCCACACUGGGACUGAGACACGGCCCAGACUCCUACNGGAGGCAGCAGUGGGGAAUAUUGCACAAUGGGCGCAAGCCUGAUGCAGCCAUGCCGCGUGUGUGAAGAAGGCCUUCGGGUUGUAAAGCACUUUCAGUCAGGAGGAAAGGUUANUAGUUAAUACCUGCUAGCUGUGACGUUACUGACAGAAGAAGCACCGGCUAACUCCGUGCCAGCAGCCGUGGUAAUACGGAGGGUGCGAGCGUUAAUCGGAAUUACUGGGCGUAAAGCGUACGCAGGCGGUUUGUUAAGCGAGAUGUGAAAGCCCCGGGCUCAACCUGGGAACUGCAUUUCGAACUGGCAAACUANAGUGUGAUAGAGGGUGGUAGAAUUUCAGGUGUAGCGGUGAAAUGCGUAGAGAUCUGAAGGAAUACCGAUGGCGAAGGCAGCCACCUGGGUCAACACUGACGCUCAUGUACGAAAGCGUGGGGAGCAAACAGGAUUANAUACCCUGGUAG
RNAcentral lists this ribosomal RNA (699 nucleotides) under uncultured Pseudoalteromonas sp. RNAcentral's name for it is "bacterial SSU rRNA". It matches the Rfam family "Bacterial small subunit ribosomal RNA", at positions 92 to 793 of the family's 1533-position model. Lineage: Bacteria; Pseudomonadati; Pseudomonadota; Gammaproteobacteria; Alteromonadales; Pseudoalteromonadaceae. The record is from RNAcentral.